GAGUUUGAUCUUGGCUCAGGAUGAACGCCGGCGGUGUGCCUAAUACAUGCAAGUCGUACGCACUGGCCCAACUGAUUGAUGGUGCUUGCACCUGAUUGACGAUGGAUCACCAGUGAGUGGCGGACGGGUGAGUAACACGUAGGUAACCUGCCCCGGAGCGGGGAUAACAUUUGGAAACAGAUGCUAAUACCGCAUAACAACAAAGGCCACAUGGCUUUUGUUUGAAAGAUGGCUUUGGCCAUCACUCUGGGAUGGACCUGCGGUGCAUUAGCUAGUUGGUAAGGUAACGGCUUACCAAGGCGAUAAUGCAUAGCCGAGUUGAGAGACUGAUCGGUCACAAUGGAACUGAGACACGGUCCAUACUCCUACGGGAGGCAGCAGUAGGGAAUCUUCCACAAUGGGCGCAAGCCUGAUGGAGCAACACCGCGUGAGUGAAGAAGGGUUUCGGCUCGUAAAGCUCUGUUGUUGGAGAAGAACGUGCGUGAGAGUAACUGUU
RNAcentral lists this ribosomal RNA (496 nucleotides) under uncultured microorganism. Its description in RNAcentral is "bacterial SSU rRNA". It matches the Rfam family "Bacterial small subunit ribosomal RNA", at positions 9 to 468 of the family's 1533-position model. The record is from RNAcentral.